CGCUGCUAUAUUGAGAAUCUUAUAAUUCUCUUCUUGGUUACAUGAUGCGAACAGAAAUUUGAACUAAAAAUUGAUGAUGAUUGCUCAUCUCAACAACAAAAUUGUUCUCCCAUAUCUAAAAAGAUCUUUAACAUAUUCAACAGCAGUUAAUUGUCUGUUCGUUAGAGAUAUUUUGGUCUUUUUCAGAUGCGGUUGAGCAUUUUUUGGAGUGUAAAAAGCAAUUUUCAAAAUUGGUUUAGAAAAUAGGCUUUUAUAUAUGACUAAAACGAAAGGCUUUUGUACUUGGUCUUAUUAGCACUCAUGGUUCAAUUGUUAUUUGAUUGGUUUUUGAAAAUUGAUCUUUAAGUCUCCUGUUACGAAUCGAGCUAACUCGAAUAUAGUUCAAAAUUCAAUUUACUAUUUUAUCCUUUUUUAAUAGGCUUAAUUGCUCUUUUCGUCCCUUAAGUUAUUAUUUGGUAUCGAUUUGGUCCCUUAAGUAAAAAAAAGAUUGUUUUGGUAUUUUAUCUUUAUCUCCGUUACAUGUUUUGGUCCAUUCCGUUAGUUUUAAUAAAAAAACGUUAACUGCUAUCCACGUGUCAUUUUGGCAUUGGCUAAAAAACUUAAUUUAUUUUCUUCAUUUUCUCCACUUAAAUUCUUCAUCUUCUUCCCCCAUUUUCUGGAAAAUAAGAACAUCACCAACAACACUUUCAUGAAAAAGAAAAAGAAAAAAAGAACAACACCA
This 721-nucleotide long non-coding RNA is filed under the name Medicago truncatula (barrel medic). RNAcentral's name for it is "lncRNA gene4632". Lineage: Eukaryota; Viridiplantae; Streptophyta; Magnoliopsida; Fabales; Fabaceae. The record is from RNAcentral.